This is a non-coding RNA of Nothobranchius furzeri (turquoise killifish), 3956 nucleotides long. NCBI's taxonomy places the organism in Eukaryota, Metazoa, Chordata, Actinopteri, Cyprinodontiformes, Nothobranchiidae. The record is from RefSeq and is a predicted model, not a curated record.
AUUAUGACUUAGCUAUCUCAUUAUUAUGAGAUAGUAUCUCAUUAUUAUGACUUAGUAUCUCAUAAUAAUGAGAAAGCAUCUCAUUAUUAUGAGAUACUAUCUCAUUAUUAUGAGAUAGUAUCUCAUAAUUAUGACUUAGCUAUCUCAUAUUUAUGACUUAGUAUCUCAUAAUAAUGAGAUAAAUUCUGCUGGCCUCCACGGACUUCCGUUUUUGCACUUCCGUAUUUUUCAAACUAAAGCAGCAGCGCAGCACACAACUUCGUUCGCGCUGAGUGGUCAGAAUGGCUAUUUGUACGCGUUUGCUGCUAGACCUCCCAAGAAUAAUGGUUAACGAUGUACACCGAAUCUUUCUUGCCUCGUCCGAAAUGCCAAAAUCUAGUAUGGACAAAGCUUGUAUUGUAUGUGCCCGGCUACAUACACAGCUAUGAAGGUAAGCUAACAAACUUCUGCUGUGAGUUACUAAAGAUGCUACACGCUAGCUCUCCACUAGCCUAAGUUAACACAAUAAGGAAACGUUAUUGGAGCGAUAAGUAAGGUCAUGCGUGUUUUUCGUGUCUGAAAUUUAAAAAAAAAAACAGUUUUUAUGUUAUUCUCAGUUUUAAUCAUGCAGUCAGGAGAGGUCACGGUUAGGUCCGAGUGUUUCAGGUCAAUGUGGAAAAACCAGAAGCCCCACCGUCUGAGUGUAGGGAAACGUUUCCCUGCAGGUUCAGUGCAGGAUUGAUUCAGGUUCAAAAGAAGACUGUUCAUGUUUUUAAACGUCACAUUUUUGCGAGUCAUAUCAUUGCUUUUAGUUUGAUAACAGGUUAAUGACAUGCCUGAACUACGUGUGUCAUGUGGUAUCAGAGAUAAAAUGUGUCCCAGAAAGAAUAUAGUAAGUAAAGUUUGUAUAAAUAGCAUGUCACAGAAAGUCAAACAUUAGAUGACUCGCAGAAGCACAACAUUGUUUACAGUUAUUUUAUUUUUGUCCACUACUUGUUCUACUCUUCUAUUUUAAAAUGAGUUAAGUGAAGUUAAUCAUCAAUGUUUGUCUCUCCUUAAAUGCAGUUGUACUCUAACAAAUAUUCUGUGUUGUAACAGAUUGUGCUAAGGGAUUCAAAGCCGGUGGGGGUGCCAGUGUAUGUGUGGCAGGUGCAGCCUUGUGAUGUCAUGUGGCAGCUCAACUCUACCAGACGGCACAUUUCUCCUAGCUGAAACUUACAUCGGUCCCCCCCCCCCCCCCCCCCCCCACACACACACACACACAGUGUUCAGCUGCACAGAAACUGAACAACAGUGGCACAAAACGGGGACCAAGGUUACAAUCUUUUAAUGAUACUAUUAUUAUGUGUAUACAUAUUUCUGUUAUAACAUUUAAACUUGUUUUUAUUUGGAAACAAGGUAUUAAACCAGGUCCAGUUAAUGACAUGGUCAUCAUAUCAGCCAGACAAAGAGAGAAGAGACCGGUAGAAUGAACAAGAAGCAGUUUGUAAAAAGGAGUCAGCUUCCCCGAUGACAGCUUCAUUCUGAAGGUGCAGGAGGCGUACCACAGACUUGGUGCAGAUGAGGCUCCGGUGAUGACAACCAUGGCUGUCUCUGGUGAUGUACCUCUGGUUGGGUCCACGUUUGGUUCGGUGCAGGAGGGAAGCGGGCCAUCUUACCAACUACCAGUGAGGACGGCCCCCAGGACGCGUCCACACAAAGACAACCCUUCUCUCCCACAACUGUCUCUCUCUCAUUAUAGACUGGGACCCUCUGCAUGUGCAUUUGUGUUUACUGAACAUCAUCAUUUCACAUCCCUCACAACAUCAUUGGGGAAAUCAUACAAAGCUGAGAACAGAACACAAUCGCAGAGUUUCUGUGUGGAGGGGCACCAACUAAGGAGAUGCCACAUCACUUCUACAAAAUUUAGAUAAGUGUGUCACACCAGGGCAGAAGGUUCUGCUGAGAACCUUGUGAAACAGCCUAUGUGAACAAGUAGUCAGACUGAUGACAAAUGUUGGGGUCUUGCUUUGGAGCCUACAGCCAUCAAGGAGUACUGCAAGGUAAUAGAGGUAAACCACUACCCUUGUGGGGUCCUGAUCCACCUUGAGGCACCAUGGAUGGGUUCAACACCAGAUGGGAUUACCGUAAAUCCUCUAAUACAGGCCCGGGCCUCUAUUUGACUCAAGCUCAUCAAGCUCCAGGCCUUUAUUGGAAGGAGGGCCAGUAUUAGAGGCAGGCCUCUAUUUCCAUUUGAGCAAAAUGAACUAAUGUUCCUUGGGAGUUUUUGACAAUUAAAAUUGCGCCCACAUUUUCAAAGUUAAACACAUUUCUUUUAACAACGGUAGUUUCUGCUUCAGCCAUCUCCCCCCUCCCCCUGCUUUAGCCCUCUCCCCCCUCCCCCUGCUUUAGCCCUCUCCCCCCUCCCCCUGCGCAGCGGCCACAAACUCACUGAUGCGCCUGCAGCCUCUCAGAGUUCCUGCUGCUCUAAACAUUAAAAUAAUUAUUUCAUUUUCUGUUCCUCACUUCUGAUUACCUUCAAUGGUGGCUGUUUGUUGCAACAGCAGGUACAAAAACUAACUUGUUUUUAUUUGACUAUUUUUCUGUCCUGUCUGUUUAUUAUCUUCCUGCAUCUCCUCUCAAUCCUAAAGAAAAACUGCUGCCUGGGUUCAUAUAUAUUCACCUCAUGAGUUACCUUUGAACUGCAGUUCUAAAAGAUCUACCGACCGCAAAAACAGCGGAGCGCUCGCUGUUUGUCGGCCGUAUCAGUGAUCUGUGCGUCGGAGGACAAGGUGAUGCGCGCAGCGCCCCGCUCCACAGCAGCGAUACACAUCAGGCGCAAAUAAAAGACAGAAAACAUUAAAGGAAAUGAACCAACAUGAACGAUCGCGUGUCAGUACCUACGGUCUGGUACAGCGCGUUGCCCCCACCCCCGAGCGCAGGAGCUUGUCACCUGCUGACAGCAGACUGCUGUCUUUUCCGAGGGCUGCAUCUUGCCGGUCAUUAUCACGUGACAGCGACUAGUCGACGACAGGCAUAAAAAGUCACUAUAGUGAAGUCGACUAGUUCAUACACCCCCUACUGCUGCUCUCCAGAGUGUUCUACAGCAUAAUCAGCACGUUCUCUUUGAACUUGAUAGUGUAAUGACCUGGCUGGGGUUGUAAGCCAGGUGCAUUCUGGGUAUUGUGUUAUAUGUGUUUCCUAUCGUUCUGCUAGUUCCUAUGUGCUGAUUUGUGUGUUGUGUGAGUGUUAUGUAAGCCACAGGGAAGGUGAUGUGUGUUCUGUGGAGCGGGUUGAAUUAGCAUGGUUAACUGACACCGUGACUCUGUGUGGUAGGAGCGUGAUAGAGGAUCGUGUCUGUAGCGUUACAAAGCAUUGAAGAAAAAGCCUAAUAAAGGUCUGCUUGAACCUCUACUGCCUCCUGCUGGUUGAUUUGGGGACUAUAACCCUGCCGCUGGGACGCUCGUACUUGCUUACUACAUUCCACCCAUACUUGCUUGUUACUACAUUCCGCCCGGCCACAAUAAGAGACCGGCCAAUAUUUACCUCAACUGACUUUGACACCGACUUUGACACCGGCCACAAUUGGAGACCCGGCCUUUAAUUGACAAUUGGAGACCCGGCCUUUAAUUGAAUACCGGCCUGUAUUGGAGGAUUUACGGUAUGUAUGAUCCUGAGGGCAGCCUGAGUGUGGCCUGCUGGAAAUAAAAUGCCUAAAUGUGUGUAGCUUUGUGGAUUAUUAUGCUCAGAAAAGGUUUACUCUCUGUGGCGAUCUCAUCCUCAUUACUGGCAGGUCGGUGUUGACUGUUGAUUUCUCCAUGUGAGUGGUGUGACUUUGUUGUUUACACCACAGAUGACAUGUUUAUUCAGCGAGUUCCCCGUGACAUGGAAGUCAUACAGACACUAUUGUAAUGUUUUCAUUGCUGUUUAAAUGUAAAGACUUACUGUGGGGGAAAUUCAAUGUAAAUCUGCAGUAAAAUUAAAUAGUUCUGCACUUU